RNAcentral lists this ribosomal RNA (299 nucleotides) under uncultured bacterium. Its description in RNAcentral is "partial 16S ribosomal RNA". It matches the Rfam family "Bacterial small subunit ribosomal RNA", at positions 28 to 325 of the family's 1533-position model. The record is from RNAcentral.
GAUGAACGCUAGCGGCAGGCUUAAUACAUGCAAGUCGUGGGGCAGCAGGGGUAGCAAUACCCGCUGGCGACCGGCAAACGGGUGCGGAACACGUACGCAACCUUCCUUUAACUGGAGAAUAGCCCCUCGAAAGAGGGAUUAAUACUCCGUAACAUGUACAUGUGGCAUCACAAGUACAUUAUAGCUCCGGCGGUUAAAGAUGGGCGUGCGCCUGAUUAGAUAGUUGGCGGGGUAACGGCCACCAAGUCUGCGAUCAGUAACUGGUGUGAGAGCACGACCAGUCACACGGGCACUGAGAC